This is a non-coding RNA of Pangasianodon gigas (Mekong giant catfish), 73 nucleotides long. NCBI's taxonomy places the organism in Eukaryota, Metazoa, Chordata, Actinopteri, Siluriformes, Pangasiidae. The record is from the annotation of a GenBank genome assembly.
UCCCUGGUGGUAUAGCGGCUAAGGAUCCCGCACUAUCACCACCGCGGCCCUGGUUUGAUUCCUGGGCAGGGAA